Melitaea cinxia (Glanville fritillary) is the source of this 225-nucleotide long non-coding RNA. RefSeq lists it as uncharacterized. The transcript is spliced from 2 exons. Lineage: Eukaryota; Metazoa; Arthropoda; Insecta; Lepidoptera; Nymphalidae. The record is from RefSeq and is a predicted model, not a curated record.
CCAAUCACCAUCCACAGCUCGGAUAUCGCUUCCAUCAGGUCCCAAAAGAUUUGUCCAGAAAUGUUUGGUGUUUAACCAAACCCAAAAAGAUAUAAGAAAGUUAAAACAAGAAAUCAUCCGAUUAAGAAAAAGGUGCCACAAUUUUAGAACCCGAUUGGACAAUGCAGAGAAACUUAGUAACUCACUAGCUUUGCAAAAAGUGACAAGUAAAAUGAGAUUGCCAGC